This is a long non-coding RNA of Cydia pomonella (codling moth), 903 nucleotides long. RefSeq lists it as uncharacterized. The transcript is spliced from 2 exons. The record is from RefSeq and is a predicted model, not a curated record. NCBI's taxonomy places the organism in Eukaryota, Metazoa, Arthropoda, Insecta, Lepidoptera, Tortricidae.
GUAAAUGCAGAGACAUGUCAGUCGCUUCGCUUGACAGACAGAUGAAGUGUGCGAAAGGGAAGCCAUGACGUAUAUGAACAAGCCAUAAGUGCGAAAGAGGCAGACUACAUAUGAGAAAACGUAACCAAUUUUGAGUUCGAAGGCGGCCGAGGCGGCCAAAAUCAUAUUGCCGUAUUUUUUAACGUGAAAAAUAUAAGAGAAUCAAAAAGAAAAAUAUAUAUUAAGUAAUUUAGUGACGAUGGUGUCAUGUUGUGUGCCGGGUUGUAGUGUUUCAGGGCCAAAAAACCCAGGAAAAUACUCAUUUCACAGGUAAUUAUGAUAUUCCUAGCGAAAUUUUCGUAACGAUAUUUUAUCAAAUGAACAGCAUAAAAAGUGUAAAAAACCAAUUUAUACAGUUCAUUAUAAGUUUUUCUUCAAUUGUGUGUUAAUAUUUCAUCAUAUUAGUCAAUAUUUUAGAAUAUUUUGUGUAAAAACCUAAACUGUUACUUUACGCUAGGGCUUGACAAAAUGUUCAUAUGACUGUAUCGAUAACUUGUCGGUAUAUAAGUAGGUGCACAUGUUUAGCGAUAAAUUUAAACUUCACUUUCCAACACAGUACUUACAUUUUAAACACUUUUCCACGGCUUUGCCGCCAACACAAGGAAACACAAGACAGCGUAUACUUGUACACAGCGUAUACACACCCAACCCAACUUGUCAGCAGGAAAAGGCGCGAAAUUCAAAUUUUCUUUGGUAAGUCAACUCUUUGCGAACACAUUUUCAAACAACUUCAACUUUAUCAUUUUCAACUUUUUCAAACACAUUUGAAAAAGUAGUCGAUAAAGCAGUUAAACAUCGAUAGAUUAUUAAUAUGUUGUAACAUGACAUCACUAUUUUUGUUCGCACAUAGACAAUUUACGCACA